GCCGGUGUAGCUCAAUAGGAAGAGCAACUGAUUUGUAAUCAGUAGAUCAAAGGUUCGAAUCCUUUUGCCGGCA
RNAcentral lists this transfer RNA (73 nucleotides) under Candidatus Blochmannia sansabeanus (nom. nud.). Its description in RNAcentral is "tRNA-Thr". It matches the Rfam family "tRNA". Rfam says of the family: Transfer RNA (tRNA) molecules are approximately 80 nucleotides in length. Their secondary structure includes four short double-helical elements and three loops (D, anti-codon, and T loops). RNAcentral also lists the same sequence under 4 other names. Lineage: Bacteria; Pseudomonadati; Pseudomonadota; Gammaproteobacteria; Enterobacterales; Enterobacteriaceae. The record is from RNAcentral.